RNAcentral lists this ribosomal RNA (265 nucleotides) under uncultured bacterium. RNAcentral describes it as "partial 16S ribosomal RNA". It matches the Rfam family "Bacterial small subunit ribosomal RNA", at positions 524 to 776 of the family's 1533-position model. The record is from RNAcentral.
UACAGGUGAUGCGAGUGUUACUCUUCUUUAUUGGGCGUAAAGGGUGCGUAGGUUGUAUAAUAAGUUUGAAGUAAAAUGUCAAAAAAGAUCAAUACAAAUUUUUGUGGAUAUUUUUUAUACUAUUAUACUUGAGUUUUAUUAAGGAUAAUGGAACUUCUCAUAAAGAGUUUAAAUGCGCUAGUAUAUGAGAGGGAACACCUAUGGCGAAGGCAAUUAUCCAUAUAAAUACUGACACUGAGGCACGAAGGCGUAGGGAUCAAAUCGG